RNAcentral lists this ribosomal RNA (468 nucleotides) under uncultured bacterium. RNAcentral's name for it is "partial 16S ribosomal RNA". It matches the Rfam family "Bacterial small subunit ribosomal RNA", at positions 28 to 507 of the family's 1533-position model. The record is from RNAcentral.
GACGAACGCUGGCGGCGUGCUUAACACAUGCAAGUCGAACGGAAAGGCCCUGCUUUUGUGGGGUGCUCGAGUGGCGAACGGGUGAGUAACACGUGAGUAACCUGCCCUUGACUUUGGGAUAACUUCAGGAAACUGGGGCUAAUACCGGAUAGGAGCUCCUGCUGCAUGGUGGGGGUUGGAAAGUUUCGGCGGUUGGGGAUGGACUCGCGGCUUAUCAGCUUGUUGGUGGGGUAGUGGCUUACCAAGGCUUUGACGGGUAGCCGGCCUGAGAGGGUGACCGGCCACAUUGGGACUGAGAUACGGCCCAGACUCCUACGGGAGGCAGCAGUGGGGAAUAUUGCACAAUGGGCGGAAGCCCGAUGCAGCAACGCCGCGUGCGGGAUGACGGCCUUCGGGUUGUAAACCGCUUUCGCCUGUGACGAAGCGUGAGUGACGGUAAUGGGUAAAGAAGCACCGGCUAACUACGCG